This 25-nucleotide non-coding RNA is filed under the name Cricetulus griseus (Chinese hamster). The record is from RNAcentral. Lineage: Eukaryota; Metazoa; Chordata; Mammalia; Rodentia; Cricetidae.
CUAGCAUCACAAGUAUUAGAGGCAA